GGAGCGACGGUCGUGCACCGUUGGUGUCUAAUGCUCGGGCAAUGAUAAGAGGCCGCGAGACCUCAAUGCCCUCAGUGCUUUCCGUAUCCAAGAGCUCGAGCAAUGCCCCGUUCACCGCGACGACAUAGACGCGACGCGGGUAACGGGCCAUGCUGCGAGUUUCGUCUCGUGACCCGCCGGCCGAGCAACGGACCGCUAAACGAACGAGGGACGUUGGGACAAACGAAUGCCAUCGUGUAGGUACGCAACACA
RNAcentral lists this unclassified non-coding RNA (252 nucleotides) under Hoya davidcummingii. RNAcentral describes it as "partial miscellaneous RNA". The record is from RNAcentral. Lineage: Eukaryota; Viridiplantae; Streptophyta; Magnoliopsida; Gentianales; Apocynaceae.